This 258-nucleotide ribosomal RNA is filed under the name uncultured bacterium. RNAcentral's name for it is "partial 16S ribosomal RNA". It matches the Rfam family "Bacterial small subunit ribosomal RNA", at positions 96 to 354 of the family's 1533-position model. The record is from RNAcentral.
CGGCGGACGGGUGAGUAACGCGUGGGUAACCUGCCUUAUACAGGGGGAUAACAGUUAGAAAUGACUGCUAAUACCGCAUAAGCGCACAGUACCGCAUGGUACGGUGUGAAAAACUCCGGUGGUAUAAGAUGGACCCGCGUCUGAUUAGCCAGUUGGCGGGGUAACGGCCCACCAAAGCGACGAUCAGUAGCCAACCUGAGAGGGUGACCGGCCACAUUGGGACUGAGACACGGCCCAAACUCCUACGGGAGGCAGCAG